CCUACGGGAGGCAGCAGUGAGGAAUAUUGGUCAAUGGGCGCGAGCCUGAACCAGCCAAGUAGCGUGAAGGAUGACUGCCCUACGGGUUGUAAACUUCUUUUGUAAAGGAAUAAAGUUAGGCACGUGUGCCUUUUUGUAUGUACUUUACGAAUAAGGAUCGGCUAACUCCGUGCCAGCAGCCGCGGUAAUACGGAGGAUCCGAGCGUUAUCCGGAUUUAGUGGGUUUAAAGGGUGCGUAGAUGGGUUGUUAAGUCAGUUGUGAAAGUUUGGGGCUCAACUGUAAAAUUGCAAUUGAUACUGGCAGGCUUGAGUACAGUUGAGGUAGGCGGAAUGCGUGGUGUAGCGGUGAAAUGCUUAGAUAUCACGCAGAACUCCGAUUGCGAAGGCAGCUUACUAAACUGCCACUGACAUUGAUGCUCGAAAGUGUGGGUAUCAAACAGGAUUAGAUACCCGGGUAGUC
This 460-nucleotide ribosomal RNA is filed under the name uncultured bacterium. RNAcentral describes it as "partial 16S ribosomal RNA". It matches the Rfam family "Bacterial small subunit ribosomal RNA", at positions 338 to 795 of the family's 1533-position model. The record is from RNAcentral.